Molecule: small RNA, 85 nt
Filed under: uncultured Symbiodinium
Lineage: Eukaryota; Dinophyceae; Suessiales; Symbiodiniaceae
Description: partial Alphaproteobacteria transfer-messenger RNA
Source: RNAcentral
AUUUUACCGUUCUUAAAAGAGCAACAACACAUAUGCGAAUGAUAAUUGUUAUUUCGCCAUUUGUGUUAUUGCUUAACGUACAUUG